CAAAGGUUAUCUUUUAGGUCACGUAUAAAACUUUUUAUUAUGCUGGUGUAUGUUUUAUUUAUGUCAGCAAGAUAGAAUUUCGCUCAGCUCGUUUCGUAAUAAAUCAUCUAGGUUCCCAUCAGUUUGUUACUCUCCGGCGGUAUCAUGGGUUCCAGAUGACGCUUAAAUCUUGACUGACAGCCGUUUUACUUUCUCGGGCGUUUACCCCAUCUCAGCAAUCCAAAAAAUAUUCAUUUAUGAUUGGCUCUUGCAGCAACCGAUGUUUGUGUACAAAUUUUAGAUUGCCCUGGAUAGAACAGUUGGCGACUGGCCGCUGCCGUUAAGUUUUCAAAAUUGAACCUAGGAAUCCGCUGUUGCUUUUGCAAAAAGGCAGCACGGCCCUUCCUAGAUAAACGGCUUGUCAACUCAGGCCCAAUAUUUAGUCUUUCCAACAGGACUCUGUUGAAAUUUUAUUCCAUAAACUGUUUUGUUGUUUUUCAAUGAUCUGAUAGACAAUAGACCUAAAUAACAAAAAUGAAGCUUAGCCAUGUGCGGUGGGGCCUUUUAGGCCUGUUAGUUGUGAUAUGGACUGUGGAUGCUCAAUCUGAAGAUAAGUUACA
RNAcentral lists this long non-coding RNA (599 nucleotides) under Mytilus galloprovincialis (Mediterranean mussel). Lineage: Eukaryota; Metazoa; Mollusca; Bivalvia; Mytilida; Mytilidae. The record is from RNAcentral.